RNAcentral lists this ribosomal RNA (1016 nucleotides) under Neophaeosphaeriopsis triseptatispora. Its description in RNAcentral is "SSU rRNA". It matches the Rfam family "Eukaryotic small subunit ribosomal RNA", at positions 77 to 1103 of the family's 1831-position model. Lineage: Eukaryota; Fungi; Ascomycota; Dothideomycetes; Pleosporales; Phaeosphaeriaceae. The record is from RNAcentral.
UACCGUGAAACUGCGAAUGGCUCAUUAAAUCAGUUAUCGUUUAUUUGAUAGUACCUUACUACUUGGAUAACCGUGGUAAUUCUAGAGCUAAUACAUGCUAAAAACCCCGACUUCGGAAGGGGUGUAUUUAUUAGAUAAAAAACCAACGCCCUUCGGGGCUUCUUGGUGAUUCAUGAUAACUUUACGGAUCGCAUGGCCUUGCGCCGGCGACGGUUCAUUCAAAUUUCUGCCCUAUCAACUUUCGAUGGUAAGGUAUUGGCUUACCAUGGUUUCAACGGGUAACGGGGAAUUAGGGUUCGAUUCCGGAGAGGGAGCCUGAGAAACGGCUACCACAUCCAAGGAAGGCAGCAGGCGCGCAAAUUACCCAAUCCCGACACGGGGAGGUAGUGACAAUAAAUACUGAUACAGGGCUCUUUUGGGUCUUGUAAUUGGAAUGAGUACAAUUUAAACCUCUUAACGAGGAACAAUUGGAGGGCAAGUCUGGUGCCAGCAGCCGCGGUAAUUCCAGCUCCAAUAGCGUAUAUUAAAGUUGUUGCAGUUAAAAAGCUCGUAGUUGAACCUUGGGCCUGGCUGGUAGGUCCGCCUCACCGCGUGUACUUGUCCGGCCGGGCCUUCCUUCUGGAGAACCUCAUGCCCUUCACUGGGCGUGUUGGGGACCAGGACUUUUACUUUGAAAAAAUUAGAGUGUUCAAAGCAGGCCUUUGCUCGAAUACGUUAGCAUGGAAUAAUAGAAUAGGACGUGCGGUCCUAUUUUGUUGGUUUCUAGGACCGCCGUAAUGAUUAAUAGGGACAGUCGGGGGCAUCAGUAUUCAAUUGUCAGAGGUGAAAUUCUUGGAUUUAUUGAAGACUAACUACUGCGAAAGCAUUUGCCAAGGAUGUUUUCAUUAAUCAGUGAACGAAAGUUAGGGGAUCGAAGACGAUCAGAUACCGUCGUAGUCUUAACCGUAAACUAUGCCGACUAGGGAUCGGGCGAUGUUCUUUUUCUGACUCGCUCGGCACCUUACGAGAAAUCAAAG